CGAACGCUUUGUGGUUCAACUGAUUUGAAGAGCUUGCUCAGAUAUGACGAUGGACAUUGCAAAGAGUGGCGAACGGGUGAGUAACACGUGGGAAACCUACCUCUUAGCAGGGGAUAACAUUUGGAAACAGAUGCUAAUACCGUAUAACAAUGACAACCGCAUGGUUGUUAUUUGAAAGAUGGUUCUGCUAUCACUAAGAGAUGGUCCCGCGGUGCAUUAGCUAGUUGGUAAGGUAAUGGCUUACCAAGGCGAUGAUGCAUAGCCGAGUUGAGAGACUGAUCGGCCACAAUGGGACUGAGACACGGCCCAUACUCCUACGGGAGGCAGCAGUAGGGAAUCUUCCACAAUGGGCGAAAGCCUGAUGGAGCAACGCCGCGUGUGUGAUGAAGGGUUUCGGCUCGUAAAACACUGUUGUAAGAGAAGAAUGACAUUGAGAGUAACUGUUCAAUGUGUGACGGUAUCUUACCAGAAAGGAACGGCUAAAUACGUGCCAGCAGCCGCGGUAAUACGUAUGUUCCAAGCGUUAUCCGGAUUUAUUGGGCGUAAAGCGAGCGCAGACGGUUAUUUAAGUCUGAAGUGAAAGCCCUCAGCUCAACUGAGGAAUUGCUUUGGAAACUGGAUGACUUGAGUGCAGUAGAGGAAAGUGGAACUCCAUGUGUAGCGGUGAAAUGCGUAGAUAUAUGGAAGAACACCAGUGGCGAAGGCGGCUUUCUGGACUGUAACUGACGUUGAGGCUCGAAAGUGUGGGUAGCAAACAGGAUUAGAUACCCUGGUAGUCCACACCGUAAACGAUGAGUGCUAGGUGUUUGAGGGUUUCCGCCCUUAAGUGCCGCAGCUAACGCAUUAAGCACUCCGCCUGGGGAGUACGACCGCAAGGUUGAAACUCAAAGGAAUUGACGGGGACCCGCACAAGCGGUGGAGCAUGUGGUUUAAUUCGAAGCAACGCGAAGAACCUUACCAGGUCUUGACAUCCCUUGACAACUCCAGAGAUGGAGCGUUCCCUUCGGGGACAAGGUGACAGGUGGUGCAUGGUUGUCGUCAGCUCGUGUCGUGAGAUGUUGGGUUAAGUCCCGCAACGAGCGCAACCCUUAUUACUAGUUGCCAGCAUUCAGUUGGGCACUCUAGUGAGACUGCCGGUGACAAACCGGAGGAAGGUGGGGAUGACGUCAAAUCAUCAUGCCCCUUAUGACCUGGGCUACACACGUGCUACAAUGGCGUAUACAACGAGUUGCCAACCCGCGAGGGUGAGCUAAUCUCUUAAAGUACGUCUCAGUUCGGAUUGUAGGCUGCAACUCGCCUACAUGAAGUCGGAAUCGCUAGUAAUCGCGGAUCAGCACGCCGCGGUGAAUACGUUCCCGGGUCUUGUACACACCGCCCGUCACACCAUGAGAGUUUGUAACACCCAAAGCCGGUGGGGUAACCUUCGGGAGCCAGCCGUCUAA
This 1442-nucleotide ribosomal RNA is filed under the name Weissella confusa. RNAcentral's name for it is "bacterial SSU rRNA". It matches the Rfam family "Bacterial small subunit ribosomal RNA". Lineage: Bacteria; Bacillati; Bacillota; Bacilli; Lactobacillales; Lactobacillaceae. The record is from RNAcentral.